UAGCAUAAGGCGUUUUAUUAU
RNAcentral lists this non-coding RNA (21 nucleotides) under Caenorhabditis elegans. Lineage: Eukaryota; Metazoa; Nematoda; Chromadorea; Rhabditida; Rhabditidae. The record is from RNAcentral.